CAGAGCACCAUUAAAUCCAUUAUUUAAAAAAUGGAAAGAAUAUGGCACCACAACAAACCUGCCAAGAGAGGGCCGCCCACCAAAACUCACAGACCAGGCAGAAGGAGGGCAUUAAUCAGAGAGGCAACAAAGAGACCAAAGAUAACCCUGAAGGAGCUGCAAAGCUCCACAUCGGAGAUUGAAGUAUCUGUCCAUAGGACCACUUUAAGCCGUACACUCCACAGAGCUGGGCUUUAUGGAAGAGUGGCCAGAAAAAGCCAUUGCUUAAAGAAACAAACAAGCAAACACGUUGGUGUUCACCAAAAGGCACGUGGGAGACUCCCCAAACAUAUGGAAGAAUGUACUGUGGGAGACUCCCCAAACAUAUGGAAGAAGGUACUGUGGGAGACUCCCCAAACAUAUGGAAGAAGGUACUGUGGGAGACUCCCCAAACAUAUGGAAGAAGGUACUGUGGGAG
Molecule: long non-coding RNA, 457 nt
Organism: Oncorhynchus tshawytscha (Chinook salmon)
Lineage: Eukaryota; Metazoa; Chordata; Actinopteri; Salmoniformes; Salmonidae
Source: Ensembl